UACGAAGGGAGCUAGCGGUGUUCGGAAUCACUGGGCGUAAAGCGCACGUAGGCGGAUUUGUCAGUCGGGGGUGAAAUCCCGAGGCUCAACCUCGGAACUGCCUCCGAUACAGCAAAUCUCGAGUCCGGGAGAGGUGGGUGGAAUUCCUAGUGUAGAGGUGAAAUUCGUAGAUAUUAGGAAGAACACCAGUGGCGAAGGCGGCCCACUGGCCCGGUACUGACGCUGAGGUGCGAAAGCGUGGGGAGCAAACAGG
Molecule: ribosomal RNA, 253 nt
Filed under: uncultured bacterium
Lineage: Bacteria
Description: partial 16S ribosomal RNA
Rfam family: Bacterial small subunit ribosomal RNA
Source: RNAcentral